GUACUUGCUUCAGCAGCACAUAUAUUUUUAAAAAGUGGAACCAUACAGAGAAGAUUAGCAUGAUCCUUGCACCAGAAUGACACAGAUUUAUGAAGCAUCCCAUUAAA
This is a small nuclear RNA of Echinops telfairi (small Madagascar hedgehog), 107 nucleotides long. The record is from Ensembl. Lineage: Eukaryota; Metazoa; Chordata; Mammalia; Afrosoricida; Tenrecidae.